RNAcentral lists this ribosomal RNA (497 nucleotides) under uncultured bacterium. RNAcentral describes it as "partial 16S ribosomal RNA". It matches the Rfam family "Bacterial small subunit ribosomal RNA", at positions 28 to 507 of the family's 1533-position model. The record is from RNAcentral.
GAUGAACGCUGGCGGCGUGCCUAAUACAUGCAAGUCGAGCGAACGGACGAGAAGCUUGCUUCUCUGAUGUUAGCGGCGGACGGGUGAGUAACACGUGGAUAACCUACCUAUAAGACUGGGAUAACUUCGGGAAACCGGAGCUAAUACCGGAUGAUAUUUUGAACCGCAUGGUUCAAAAGUGAAAGACGGUCUUGCUGUCACUUAUAGAUGGAUCCGCGCUGCAUUAGCUAGUUGGUAAGGUAACGGCUUACCAAGGCAACGAUGCAUAGCCGACCUGAGAGGGUGAACGGCCACACGGGAAGUGAGACACGGUCCAGACUCCUACGGGAGGAAGCAGUAGGGAAUCUUCCGCAAUGGGCGAAAGCCUGACGGAGCAACGCCGCGUGAGUGAUGAAGGUCUUCGGAUCGUAAAACUCUGUUAUUAGGGAAGAACAUAUGUGUAAGUAACUGUGCACAUCUUGACGGUACCUAAUCAGAAAGCCACGGCUAACUACGUG